UACGUAGGUGGCAAGCGUUGUCCGGAUUUACUGGGCGUAAAGAGCGCGCAGGCGGUCGUGCAAGUCGCGUGUGAAAGCCCCCGGCUCAACUGGGGAGGGUCACGCGAUACUGCUCGAGUCGAAGGCAGGAGAGGGAAGUGGAAUUCCCGGUGUAGUGGUGAAAUGCGUAGAUAUCGGGAGGAACACCAGUGGCGAAGGCGACUUCCUGGCCUGUUCUUGACGCUGAGGCGCGAAAGCUAGGGGAGCAAGCGGG
This 253-nucleotide ribosomal RNA is filed under the name uncultured bacterium. RNAcentral describes it as "partial 16S ribosomal RNA". It matches the Rfam family "Bacterial small subunit ribosomal RNA", at positions 524 to 776 of the family's 1533-position model. The record is from RNAcentral.